Molecule: ribosomal RNA, 606 nt
Filed under: uncultured bacterium
Lineage: Bacteria
Description: bacterial SSU rRNA
Rfam family: Bacterial small subunit ribosomal RNA
Source: RNAcentral
ACUUCCUGACGAGCGGCGGACGGGUGCGUAACACGUAGGAAUCUGCCCGGUAGUGGGGGAUAGCCCGGAGAAAUUCGGAUUAAUACCGCAUACGCCCUAAGGGGGAAAGCAGGGGAUCUUCGGACCUUGCGCUAUCGGAUGAGCCUGCGUCGGAUUAGCUAGUUGGUGGGGUAAAGGCCCACCAAGGCGACGAUCCGUAGCUGGUCUGAGAGGAUGAUCAGCCACACUGGGACUGAGACACGGCCCAGACUCCUACGGGAGGCAGCAGUGGGGAAUAUUGCACAAUGGGCGAAAGCCUGAUGCAGCCAUGCCGCGUGUGUGAAGAAGGCCCUAGGGUUGUAAAGCGCUUUCAGUGGGGAGGAAAGGGAGAUUGCUAAUAUCAGUCUCCUGUGACGUUACCCACAGAAGAAGCACCGGCUAACUCCGUGCCAGCAGCCGCGGUAAUACGGAGGGUGCGAGCGUUAAUCGGAAUUACUGGGCGUAAAGCGUGCGUAGGCGGCUUUUUAAGUUGGAUGUGAAAGCCCCGGGCUUAACCUGGGAACUGCAUCCAAAACUGGAAGGCUUGAGUGCGAGAGAGGAGUGUGGAAUUUCCUGUGUAGCGGUGAA